This 30407-nucleotide long non-coding RNA is filed under the name Lathyrus oleraceus (garden pea). Its description in RNAcentral is "Pisum sativum (pea) long non-coding RNA (PSAT_LNC003065)". Lineage: Eukaryota; Viridiplantae; Streptophyta; Magnoliopsida; Fabales; Fabaceae. The record is from RNAcentral.
GAUCUUAUUUAGCAAUAUGUAAUAUACUAUACAUAGCAUGAUGUAUACGCGUUGCUAUUAAUUAUAGUAUGUAUGACCCGUGAAAUAAAAACAAAUUACUAGCUAGGUAAGAACCUAUUAAGUAAUCACUUUUUAGUAAAGAGUUUUUGAAUCUGUUCCUCAAGUAAAUAUGUUGGAGCUGACGAGUUAGCAUCCCAAACAAAAACUCCAGCUAGUGAUGCAGUAUUAAGUAGGAUUGUGCAUCCCUUAACAAAGAAUUCGGUUGUCAUUGUAUAUGAACUACUUGUAAUUGUAUCGGUGCUAACUCCUGCCAAGAGUUUAAACGGUGCACCAUAUUCAUAAACUAGUUUUUUAAAGAGCUUAACAAACUCGAUCACUGAGUCAAAACUCUGCUUAUAGAACUUGUAGUUAAUCCAAUCAAUCUUGUCUUUGUUUUUGAGAUACAGUGUGAGGUAGUAGCUUUGGAGAGCCUCUGUUGGAGCAAUGGACACCGCACUCAUGGAGUAGGAAAGAUCCUCAUCUUCCUUGAGUUGUUGUAUGACGUUCCCUAUGCAGUAGGCAAAGUCAUCCACACUGGAAUCGAUGUUUUCAUAGUUAAUAUCAAUACCGUAAGUCGUGCUAAUGCCGCCUGAUCCGACGUCAAUCUUGUAGUCUAGGAUGAGAUCUUUGAUUGAUGAUUUGGCGUUCGCAAUCCAGAUGUCUCUAUUCUUAGGGUUGAAUACAUCUUCAGCUGCAUGGCCUCCUAUGCUUAUUACCACUUUCACAUUCCUAUGCUCUACAAUGAGCUUCAACACUUUUUCUGGGCCUAAGCUUUUAAAGUUCCAAGUGCGGGUGAAUACUCCUGUGCCUUUUCCAUUAACAUACGUAUCUGUGGCAAAGCCCAGAAUGAAGUGGAAUUCUUUCAUGUUGUCGUUGAUCAUGCCCGCAGGAUAAUCAUCUAAACUUCCAUUGAUGUACUCUCGGAAAAUGGUAGGCUUCAAAACUGCCUUGAAUUCAGGUUCUAACAUUGUGAAAUCAAUUGUAUUUUGCUAUGAGAUUUGAUUGGUUGUGAUUGGAAUAAUCAACUUCUUAUGCCCUUUUAUAAGCCUAUAAGUCUUAUUUUUAAUGAAGCUUUUAUUUAUUAGUCUUCUUAAUGUAAUGCUCUUUUAUCGCUGUGCAGUAUAAACUAGUAGUAUUAAACAACACGUCUAGACAAUAACCAAGUAUAUGCUUAGAUGUGCAUUCCAAAUGCUUCAAAAUAAAGUAUGCAUACACUUGCCUAUUCUUUUAAUCAGUUUUUUUGUUUGACAAAUUUAUUCUAAUUAAUUAAGUUAGAAGCAAGAUUCAUCAAAUUAUAAAUACUAUUAUAUGUCACUAUUCCCUUAAAAAUGUUCACACUACGGUUGUUAGGGAUUCAUGAAGGAAAAAAAAACAAUUCCAAGCAUAAGGAGUCUCAAGGAUACGAGUCAUAUUUUUAUCCGAGCAGAAUUACUUAUUUUAAUCAAAUUAGUUCUAAGCUUAGCCAUUUGGCCUUAGCGUUCUCUUUCCAACCCAAAGUUGGUUUUUCAAAACAUACCCUAUAUACAUUAAUGUUGUAUAUCGGAGAUUUCUUAAUGCACCAUAUAUAUUAUUAGGACACAACGUAAAAAUAUAAAAAUAACUUUAGAUUUUAAAGAUGCAUCUUUGGACGUAUCUCAAACACAAACGACGUAUGUCAGUUCUGAAUCAUGUCAUAGGAGUGUGAUUUUUUUUUUAUCCGAAGAUGCAUCUCCGAAAUCUAUUGAUAGAUACAUCUCUGUAGCAAACUGAAACAAAAAUAGUAGAAGAAAACUAAAAAGUUAUAUUUUGACAAAAUAAAAUCAUCAUUCAUAGCAUAAAAUCAACAUGACAUAUACGAUGUUAACGUAAAAUCAGAAAUUACAUUUCAAUAUACAGGUGGACGCUUCAAAAUCUUCACAAUAUCUUCGAUCGAUCUUGAAAUCGUCGCUUCCACCUCGAUCGGAGUUUUUGUUUCGUAACGGAAAAAUGUAUUCAACAUAGCUCUUACAUCUACAUUUGUCUUGAGUUCAUAGUUGUUGAACUCAAUCUUGCCUUCGUUGUUAAUUGACGUAGAACGGUACUCGAGCUUCACAAUUUUUCGAUUAUCUCCGUAAUAAUUCAACAUAGCUCUUACAUCUACAUUUGUCUUGAGUUCAUAGUUGUUGAACUCAAUCUUGCCUUCGUUGUUAAUUGACGUAGAACGGUACUCGAGCUUCACAAUUUUUCGAUUAUCUCCGUAAUAUAGGAGAUUAUUCACUUCGUAUUGCAGAUCUGCAAAAAUGCUAUACUCAUUGAUCUUAAAUUUUUACCUCGGUAUCGCACUGGAAAAAGAGACAUUUGCAAAAUACCAGAUGAUGUUCAUUUGCGACAUUUUAUGUUUGUAUGAAAUAAAAAAUAUGAGCCUAUAUUUAUAGAAGUUGUAGACAAAUAUUGACCUUAAAAUUGUAUUAGUAAAAGUUCUGAAGAUGCAUAUCCUGUACCACCCUAUUGUCUUAUUUCGGAGAUGAAUCUUCGGAACCUCUCCUGAUAUAGACAGAAAACAAAACUUGUGUAUUUUGUUUGGCAAAUGGACAAAUUUUUUGACAAACAUCAAAAUAUAUUAAAAUAUUUUAAAUUUUAUAUAUUACACUUCAUUAAUAUUAAUACACAAUUACAUAUAAUUAAUUGAUGCCAAAAAAUUAAAAUGAAUCGAAAGAUUUAUCCCCAACUAAAUCUAUAGUAUGAAUGGUCCCCCUUUGACUUUUAUGCAUUUUAUUCUCUUUCAAUGUCCCUCAAUUUGGUGAACUCCUACAUAAUUUUCAUGAAUUGGUUAGGCCAAAUCUCGAAUUUUGUUGUUGAAUGAGUCAUUCACUCCAUUAAUGUAAGUGGUAUAGGGUAUCCCAAUUUCAAAUAAACUUGACCAAAGUGCCAUAAUUUUGAAAGCCUCUUAAUACACAUAAUACAAUCAUUUGGAUUUUGAGGUGGGGCAGUGCGCAAUGAGAAAAAAGUUUCCGAAAAACCGUUUCUUGUAAGAUUAAUACACACUUUAUCAUACACACUUUCUAUAAAAUGACACAUUUCAAGGAAGCGCGCCCAUUUUUCCUCCAGUGCUGGUCCACUAAUGCAAGGAACAAAAGACUCAUAAAUUGCAUUAACAUGUUCUUUCCUUCUGUAAAGUCGUGUGUAUGAGUCUUUAUGAGUCCUCAACUCAUGAAUAAUUUGAUGACUGACAAGUGUGUGAUUAUCUUCUCCUUUACUGAGUAAAGUCGAAACAACUCAAAUACCGCAAUUAACGUCGCCCUCAAUAUUGAUAAUUCGUUUGAAUGAAUUUUUUGUGUGGAGGCGGUGAAUAGGAGGUUUGCUAAUGCGAGUUCCUUCAAACUUGCUCGAGAUAUAUUGUCGACCAACUGAGUAUAAAGAUAGUUGUCUUUAAAUCUGUGUUCAAAAACUGUGAUGCUCCGACUGAAUGAUGUUUGUAUAUCAUUAUACUGAUUAUGGAUAAUUUGUUUCACAGAGUCCUAAUAUCUACACAAAUCUUUCUUACUAUUUCUCAACCAACUCUUCAAUGUAUCCCAUAUUUCCUUCGUGGAAUUACAAAUAUGGAUAUGGAAAUAUUUAUUUUCAUCUAAAGACAUGGCUUAGAAAAUAUUAGUUUUAAAAUUAAUUUCAAAUAUCAUCUUUUCUUCUACAAUCCAAAGAUUAUCAAGUUUAUCUACCACUUCACCAUUAACUUGGUGAAUAUGGAUAAACAGACAACUUAUUAUUGUUUUCCACAAUUCAAUAUCAAAAAUUUGAAUAAAUAUUUUAAAUAUAUAUUUCCAUAUUUUAAAUAUAUCACCAUUAAAUGGUUGAGGUGUGUUUAAGAAAGUUCUCUUGUUACAAAUUGUAUUGGAUGUCAUCUUCCUCCUUGGAUGAUUAGUCCUAAAUAGGAGUUAGGCUCUGAUGCCCCUUGUUGAACAUGGGACUCCAUACACAAGAGGGGGUGAACUGUGGAGGUUUGAAUUUUUUGAUUAAAAAUAUUGUUUUCUAAAUCAGAGUUUAAAAAUAUUUUGAUAAAAAACUUUGAAUAAACAACAGAAAUUUGAAGGUAAAGAAAAUAAUCGGAUAGUAAAAGAGUUAAGGGAAGAAUACUAACACUAGAUAUUUGUAGAGGUUAGUUGAUCAUAAAAGUUUAUAACUUUAUUAUGGACUUGAUAAAACAACAGAAAUUUGAAGGUAAAGAAAAUAAUCGGAUAGUAAAAGAGUUAAGGGAAGAAUACUAACACUAGAUAUUUGUAGAGGUUAGUUGAUCAUAAAAGUUUAUAACUUUAUUAUGGACUUGAUGUUGGUGUAAGCCCUAGAGGCCAAUAGUUUUGGUACUUGUAUCGAAUUAUUUAUUAAUGAUAAAAAGGCUUUUAAUUUAUUAUGGUUGUUUAAUAAAGUCCCUGGAAUAGAUAGUCCGUUUAAUGUAUCAAGUGUGACUUGAUCAUGAGAGCACAUUAAACAUAGGGACACUAUUCUUAAAGUUUAGACUGAUGAUCACAUCUCAUGGAUCAUGGAUAAAGACUAUUAAAGCAUUAAGACUAUUAUGUUUGUAGACUGAUGAUCACAUCUCAUGGAUCAUGGAUAAAGAGUUAUCAAGUCUUAAACAUAGGUAUGAAUAUUAUGAGUAAUAUUUAUACUAGAUUGACCCGCUAUGAGAAUACUAUAUAGAAUGUUAUGCAAAGUGUCAUAAGUUAUUCUCAUGGUGAUAAUAGUGUAUACCACUCUUCGACCUGAAACCAAUAUGGAUCCUAGAUGUAGAGUCGAGUGCUUUAUUGCUGAUCCAACGUUAUCCGUAACUGGAUAACCAUAAAAACAGUUGAUGUGUACUCCACGAAGCAUGCUGAGGGACAUGAGUGACCUAGAUGGAAUUUGUCCAUCCUGCAUAACAGGAUAAAUAUCUAUGGGCCCAAUAUUGAACUGGACAAGGAUGACACGGUCUAUGCCUUGUGUUCAAUAUAGACAUAAGGGCAAAAGGGUAAUUAUACAUAUAAGUAUUACCACAGAAGGUUUUGUCAGAUCACAUGACAUUUUCGUGUCUUGGGUAGCAGUGAUGUGUUGCUAGAUACCGCUCACUGUUUAUUAUGUUAAAUGCGUGAUUUAAUAUAAUUGCCAACGUCACGAAAACCUAUGCAGGGUCACACACAAAAGGACGGACUUGAUUGAGAUGACUAGAUAACUAAGGAAUAACCGUAAAGUACGUGCCGUUAAGUGAAUUAUAAGAACCAAUCGAAGGUAACGGUGAGCUUGAGUAGAAUACGAAAUAUGGGCAAGGUACCAUGGGCUUAAGUGAUUUUGGGCAUAUUAUAAGAUAUGGGCCAAAAUACACUUAAGUGGGCUUUUUAGCUUGAAGCCCACACAAGUGGUUCUAUAAAUAGAACCCUUGUGCAAAAGCAUUAAUUGCGGUUGCAUCAUUUUCGUUUUCUCUCCCUCUCUCUCACUCAAAGCCUUCAUUCGUACCAGCUAACACUGAGAUUGAAGGAAUCUGUUCGUGUGGACUGAGUAGAGACGUUGUCAUCGUUCAACGUUCGUGAUCGCUCUGUGGAUCUGCAUCAAAGGUUUUGAUCGUCACAAGAGAUCUACACGAAAGGUUUCAAUCGUCACAAGAGGUAAAUAUUUUAUCACUGAUCAUGACCAUUCGUAAGGAUCUCUAAAGGAAAAAAUGUUAAUUUCCGUUGCGUUUUGGAUCGCAAUUCUCCUUCAGUGGUAUCAAAGCCACUUACGAAACCAUGAAUCGGAUAGCUGUUUAAUUUCUGCAUUAAUAUGAAUAAAAGACAUAAUGAAUCAAUUAAUUAAACGGGUAAUUAAAUUUGGCAUCAUGAGUGUACGAGUUGGAUGAUUGAUGUUGACUAUGCUUCGGUACCGACAUUAGUAUGGUGAAGUAGCGAUACAUCGAUCGUCCAUAUGAGACCGAUCAACUUAUUAUAUGAUAUAAGUAAUCUAAUCAGUCGUACAGUAUAUAUGAUAAUAUUUUCGUUUCGUUCAAUUCAAACACAAAUGGUUGUUUCCUUUGAGUCGAUCAUGGUCAAUCCGACAUUAGUAUGGUGAAGCAAUGACCUGUUGAUCAAUCAUACUGAAUCAACAAUCGAGGUGUGUUUGACGGUCUGAAAUUGGCGCAUUAGGGUUGGUGAUGGCGCAAGGGUUGUGCCGUCAAAGAGUUGUGAAUUUAGGGCUUUUUGGAACACGUUUGUUGACUGUUUCAAAGUUCUGUUAUCUUGGCCGCGUGAUGUUCGUCACGAGCUUGUGACGAUCGUAACAAGCUGGACGUGACGGUCGUCAUGUGCUUUGUGACGGUCGUCACAUUCACAAAUCCAGAAUUCUAGGCGUUUCUAUUUUUGGCCGCGUGACGUUCGUCAUGGGCCUGUGACGGUCGUAACAUGCUUGUGACGGUCGUAACAUGCUUGUGACGGUCGUCACACUCAUAGAGUCAGAAUUCUCGGGGUUUCUGUUUUGUGACUGCGCAAGAGUUAUGUUGAUGCAAAACGAUGUCCAUUUCAAAUGAAUUGUUCAUUAAAAUUUUUGGACAGGGGCGCUGCCCCCUUGAUCCCCGUCCGCUGAUCGGUCAGCGGAACCCCCGGCUAACUCUGCGUAGUAUGAUCGAUCGCCGAAAUUUAAUUUGGUUUUAAUAAAUUAAAGGAAGUAAAAAUUAAUAAUAAUAAUAAUGUGUUUAUCGUUAUUGCCUUAUGGUGAUCAGUUAUGGCAUUAGUCUUCCUUCAUUUUGUUUUGGGUUUUUAAAUACAACGUGCGUGUCGUGCCUCUCCUUUUUAUCUCUUAAUGUAACUUCUUUUCUCAUCUCAAUCCCUUGUAUGUAAAAGGAGUCUCUUCAUAUAAUGUAAUGUUAUGAAGAGAGAAAAGAAGACAAUAUUAUGAAGAAAGAGAAGAAUUCAAUAUCAAAGGAGGACAACCUUGAAGAUCUUACUUGGAGAAGCUUAGAUCGUUAUUAGGUUAACUUAGGUUCUCUCAUUGGCUUGGGAGAACAAUUGCGCUAGGGGCCAUAACUGUUUCAUUAUGUAUGUUGAUGUAUGUGUAUGUAUGUUGAUGCAUAUGAAUAUAUGUUGAUGCAUGUGAGAGACGAUUUAUAUGAUAAAUAAGCUUGUGAGAUCAGAACAAUUGCAAUUCCCUCAAAUUAAAUAUUAAGUUUAUGCUUUCCAAGUUUUAACACUCAUCAAGACUAGUAAUGGAUAAUGUAGGUUUCGCCUACGCGAGGUGCAUGAUCUAUAUAUUAGUAAGGUGCGAUGGGAUAAUUGUAAUAUCCAACUGUUAAAACAAUGGGUCAAACUUAACUAAACAAAUUAUGAUAAUAUUAUAUAUGUUUGCUUUCCAAGUUUUAGCACUCAUCAAGACUGGUAUCGNNNNNNNNNNNNNNNNNNNNNNNNNNNNNNNNNNNNNNNNNNNNNNNNNNNNNNNNNNNNNNNNNNNNNNNNNNNNNNNNNNNNNNNNNNNNNNNNNNNNNNNNNNNNNNNNNNNNNNNNNNNNNNNNNNNNNNNNNNNNNNNNNNNNNNNNNNNNNNNNNNNNNNNNNNNNNNNNNNNNNNNNNNNNNNNNNNNNNNNNNNNNNNNNNNNNNNNNNNNNNNNNNNNNNNNNNNNNNNNNNNNNNNNNNNNNNNNNNNNNNNNNNNNNNNNNNNNNNNNNNNNNNNNNNNNNNNNNNNNNNNNNNNNNNNNNNNNNNNNNNNNNNNNNNNNNNNNNNNNNNNNNNNNCACGCUUGCAUCUAAAACCUGACAAGAAAACGAACUGGGACAUUAAUUCUGGAUGGGUACCACGAAACCUGAGAAUGUCCUCAAAAAGAGAAGGAAAGGCAAGGAAUGCCAACCAAGCCACGAGUACAAUUUUAAAGCCUAGGGAGGACAUAGAAAAAAGGGCACAUGCUUCCAGGCGUAAACCAGACACGGAAAGAACUCCCAAAACACCUGAAAGAAUAGGAAGUAUGAGUAGAGACCCAAACUUAGGUAUUUGGUAUGAAAUAAUAGAUACUCAGGCACAGGUAUUAAUACUGAUCCGGUCUCCACAUUUAGCAAAUGUCAAGAACUAAGGAUAAAAAGGCAAAAGAAGUCGACCCUACAUUGGUAAUAGCAAAGGUUCGCCUAGCCGAAACUAGAAUUGACUACCUAGGGUAAUAACAGUGAGAGAACCUUUAUAGUACCAGCAAUAGCAGAAAUAUUCCCCUGUUGACAAGUCGUCUCAUCGAAUAACAAUGGUCAAUAUGUGAAGAUAUACAUACACUGCACAAAUAACAAAUGAAUAAUUCCUGACUGAAAAUGCCUAUUACAAAUACAAAAGAUGAAACCGAAUGACGUAAACUCCACUUACCUUGGCAUUCAAAGCCCAUAAAAAAACGCAUUAAAAACCCAUAAAGAUGACCGUGAACUCUUUGAUAGAAUCAGAGAACAUCGCAAACUGUUAAAUGGAAAGAUGACAAAGUCUCCAUUCACAGAAACAGGAAAAAGAGCAAUAUCUUUGGCUCAUCACAACGAUAUUGUCCCACUGAACAACCACCAGAGAUUCAUACAUCAUCCACACUCACCGAUAUCAGUAAUCUGCAUCAAAGUUUGGCAUCGCAGCAAGAGACACCAAAAUUUCAAUCGUCACAAAAAGAAAAUAUCUAGCACUGAUCAUGACCACUCGAACGAAUUCCUCUAAAGGAGAAAAUUUUAAUUUCCGCUGCGUUUUGGACCGCAAUUCUCCUUCAGAUGCCACCGAUCUACCUAGACGUCCUCAGACGGGAUCUAUAUCCAAGGGUUCUAAUGACUUUGCUUCGAGGUGGCUCGGAAUCGGCGUAACCGCUUAUUUGGCAUCACACCAGAAUUUGGUGGAUCAAAUCGACACAAAUCUAAAAUCUUGGCUUCGUGACUUUGAUUUCUUCGUUGGAGACUUCUGCGAAAAUCAUAUAUGAGGGUCCAACGUGAAAACGUGAAAAUCAUUUGAAUCGAAAGUCAAUUUUUACAAACAGAAUCAUUGUUUCGUUGCGGAAUCAGAAAUAGUGUUGAUGUCAUGCUGUUAACGGUGUUGUCGUCUCGAAUACGGUGGACUUUAUGGGGUACCUGCAUGGUUAACACUUUAAUGCCCAAGUGAGUUUAGGGUUCAAGGUUGAAGGUAGUGAAAGUUGAGAUUAAAGAUUGUGUAUACUAGAACGCUUUUUGAAGGUAUUUAUACAUUGUGUCAAGUUUUUUUCCUUUUAUCGUCCCUUCUCAUUUAUAUAUAUACACAAUAGACUUUCUGUAAAGAAAAAGGGUCUAGCCUUUUUAAACUAGACAUAUUGGCCCCAUUGAUAAAUUAAUGUAAUCAUAAUUUAGGAAUUGAUACUCAUUUUGAAAUAUUGAUCAUUACAAAACUUUGACACCAUGAGAUAAAGAAAAAGGGUCUAGCCUUUUUAAACUAGACAUAUUGGCCCCAUUGAUAAAUUAAUGUAAUCAUAAUUUAGGAAUUGAUACUCAUUUUGAAAUAUUGAUCAUUACAAAACUUUGACACCAUGAGUAAUUAAUUUUAUGGAAUGUAAAAACGAUUUGAAAUUGGUAUAUGAAAGGUGAAAAAUAAAAAGUGAGGUAAGAGGCUAGUAGAGAUAGUAAUUGAAACCAAUAAUAAUUGCUUCUUAUUAUUAACUUGUUACUAAAAUAGUACAGAUACUUCAUGAUACAUAAGAGAGAGAGAGAAAGAGAAGCAAUUCAUAUCUCACAAAUUCUAACAUAACAUAAUACAAAGACAUAAGCAGUAAAAAGAGCACCCGAUAACUGAUAGAUCUUUUAAGCGUUGCUAUUAAUUAUAGUAUGUAUGAUCCGUGAAAUAAAAACAAAUUACUAGCUAGCUAAGAACCUAUUAAGUAAUCACUUUUUAGUAAAGAGUUUUUGAAUCUGUUCCUCAAGUGAAUAUCUUGGAGCUGACGAGUUAGCAUCCCAAACAAAAACUCCAGCUAGUGAUGCAGUAUUAAGUAGGAUUGUGCAUCCCUUAACAAAGAAUUCGGUUGUCAUUGCAUACGAUUUACUUGUAAUUGUAUCGGUGCUAACUCCUGCCAAGAGUUUAAACGGUGCACCAUAUUCAUAAACUAGUCUUUUAAAGAGCUUAACAAACUCGAUCUCUGAGUCAAAACUCUGCUUAUAGAACUUGUAGUUAAUCCAAUCAAUCUUGUCUUUGUUUUUGAGAUACAGUCUGAGGUAGUAGCGUUGGAGAGCCUCUGUUGGAGCAAUGGACACCACACACAUGGAGUAGGAAAGAUCCUCAUCUUCCUUGAGUUGUUGUAUGACGUUCCCUAUGCAGUAGGCAAAGUCAUCCACACUGGAAUCGAUGUUUUCAUAGUUAAUAUCAAUACCGUAAGUCGUGCUAAUGGACAGUGCGAUAGAAAAGAGCAUUAGCAUUAAGAAGACCUAAAUAAACUAAAAGCUUCGAUUAAAAAAGUAAGACUUAUAGCGUUAAUAAAAGGGCAUAAGAAGUUCGAAUUAUUGCCGAGUCACAACAAUCCAAAUCUCAGUAGCAAAAUACAAUUGAUUUCAACAACUGUUAGGACACUGAUUCAGGCAGUUUUGAAGCCUAUUUAACGCAUUUUUCGAGAGUACAAUCAAGUGGAAGUUUAAGAUGAUCCUAAAUCCCUGCGGGCAUGAUCACGACAACAAUGAAAGAAUUCCACUUCAUUCUGGGCUUUCCACAGAUACGUUGUUACAUGGAAAAGGCACAGGAGUAUUCACCCGCACUUGAACUUUACAAACUUGGCCCAAGCACAGAGUGUUAGCUCAUUUGUAGAGCAUGGAUAGCUGAAGUGGUAAUAUGAAGCAUAGGAGGCCACGGGCCGAAGAUGUAUUCAAACCUAGAUAUGAGAAUCGGAUUGCGAACGCCAAACUCAGCAAAUAAAGGGAUCUCAUCCUGGAUUAACAGAGAUUGACGUCGGAUCAGGACGGCUAUUAGCACAGACUGUACGUUGAUUUAACUAUGAAAGCAUCGAUUCCCGUGUGGAGUGACUUUUGCCUACUGAUAGGGAACGUCUACACUCAGGAAGAUGAGAUCUUUCCUACUCCAUGGUGGUGCUGUCCAUGUCUCCAACAGAGGCUCUCCAACGUACUACCUCAGACUGUAUCUCAAAAAGCAAAGACAGGAGAUUGAUUGGCAUAACUACAAGCUUCUUAUAAAGCAGAGUUUGNNNNNNNNNNNNNNNNNNNNNNNNNNNNNNNNNNNNNNNNNNNNNNNNNNNNNNNNNNNNNNNNNNNNNNNNNNNNNNNNNNNNNNNNNNNNNNNNNNNNNNNNNNNNNNNNNNNNNNNNNNNNNNNNNNNNNNNNNNNNNNNNNNNNNNNNNNNNNNNNNNNNNNNNNNNNNNNNNNNNNNNNNNNNNNNNNNNNNNNNNNNNNNNNNNNNNNNNNNNNNNNNNNNNNNNNNNNNNNNNNNNNNNNNNNNNNNNNNNNNNNNNNNNNNNNNNNNNNNNNNNNNNNNNNNNNNNNNNNNNNNNNNNNNNNNNNNNNNNNNNNNNNNNNNNNNNNNNNNNNNNNNNNNNNNNNNNNNNNNNNNNNNNNNNNNNNNNNNNNNNNNNNNNNNNNNNNNNNNNNNNNNNNNNNNNNNNNNNNNNNNNNNNNNNNNNNNNNNNNNNNNNNNNNNNNNNNNNNNNNNNUUCAUUCUGGGGCUUUUUGCCACAGAUACGUAUGUUACAUGGAAAAGGCACAAGGAGUAUUCACCCGCACUUGGAACUUUACAAGACUUGGCCCAGCACAGAGUGUUGAGCUCAUUGUAGAGCGAUAGGAAGCUGAAAGUGGUAAUGAAGCAUAGGAGGCACAGGGCCUGAAGAUGUAUUCAAGACCGUCAGAAUAUGAGACAUCUGGAUGCGAACGCCAAUAUCGCUGUGCAGUAUAAACUAGUAGUAUUAAACAACACGUCUAGACAAUAACCAAGUAUAUGCUUAGAUGUGCAUUCCAAAUGCUUCAAAAUAAAGUAUGCAUACACUUGCCUAUUCUUUUAAUCAAUUUUUUGGUUUGACAAAUUUAUUCUAAUUAAUUAAGUUAGAAGCAAGAUUCAUCAAAUUAUAAAUACUAUUAUAUGUCACUAUUCCCUUAAAAAUGUUCACACUACGGUUGUUAGGGAUGCAUGAAGGAAAAAAAAACAAUUCCAAGCAUAAGGAGUCUCAAGGAUACGAGUCCUAUUUUUAUCCAAGCAGAAUUACUUAUUUUAAUCAAAUUAGUUCUAAGAUUAACCAUUUGGCCUAAGGGUUCUCUUUCCAACCCAAAGUUGGUUUUUCAAAACAUACCCUAUAUACAUUAAUGAUGUAUAUCAGAGAUUUCUUAAUGCACCAUAUAUAUUAUUAGGACACAACAUAAAAAUAUAAAAAUAUCUUUAGAUUUCAAAAAUGCAUAUUUGGACGCAUCUCAAACACAAACGACGUAUGUCAGUUCUGAAUCAUGUCAUAAAAGUGUGGUGUUUUUUUAAUCCGAAGAUGCAUCUCCGAAAUCUAUUGGUAGAUACAUCUCCGUAGCAAACUGAAACAGAAAUAGUAGAAGAAAACUAACACUACGCCAAAAACUGGAAUAGACAGCGCACCUUAGAGGGCGCUUUAUUACAAAAGCGCUCUCUAAAGUGAAGCGAAAAAUAAGGAGCAAUAGACAGCGCCCUCUAAGGUGAAGCGAAAAAAUAAGGAGGAGAUAGAGGGACAACAAUACAUGGCGCUUUUUAGAAAGCGCCCUCUAAGGUUACCCUUAGAGGGCGCUUUUAAUAAAGCGCUGUUAUAAGUCCCAGUGCAUUCCACUUAAAAGCGGCUCUGAAAGCCUUAGACGAGCCUCAAAGCGCCCCUUAGCGCCCCCUGAUAGAGGCGCUUUUUUCCCAACAAGCGCCUCUAAUGUCCCCUUUAGUUAACAUUAAUAAUAACAUACUCGCGUUUGUUAUCUUCUUCUUUCACGUGGGUAUGGCAUAAAAGGUAUCAUGUGCGGUAGUUCCUAUUUGGAAGAAAAACAAGAUUUGGAAGCGCUUGGAGUUUUGUCACAAAGAUCUUUCUCGGUCAUCGGAGAUUCUUAAAUUCAAAUCAUCACUACCGUGGAUGGAGAAACGGCGUUCAAUGAGAGACAGAACAAGGCAGAGCACCACCGUGUAUGACGGUUGACAAAUUUUUGAAAGGAAAGAUUUGGAUAUCAGUUUGGGCAAGCCUUUGCCCACACACUUUUGUCAAAAGUGGUGGAAGAAGAGGUCAGUUUUUUUUGAAUUGCCGUAUUUGGAAGUCCUGUUAUGUGAACAUUUCUGAUGUUAUUGCAUAUUGAAAAAAAAUGUAUAUUGAAUGUUAUUGCACGUUACCAAUAUACAAAGGAAAGUCUAACGGAGGCCUAAGGCAACAGAAAGACUUGAGACGAUCGAAUAUACAACUAAAUUAGGACCCUUGAAGAAAGGAAACGAACAUUAACUACCCCUGCUGCUUGCUAUACUCUAUCUAGAAAGGAGAAAAAAAACAUUGUGCUUAAGUUUCUAGUGAGUUAAAGAAUUCCAGAAGGGUACCUUCAGAAUUGAAGACUUAUGUGUCCAUGAAAGACCUUCAAUUAAAGAGUUUAAAGACCCAUGAAUUGCCAGGUUUAUAAUGGAACAUGUUCUCCCAAUAGGUAUACGUUCCAAUUUUCCUUCCGAAAAGUAAGAAGCUACUGAUACAAGUUGGUUCUUUCUUCAAGUCAAUUUGCAGUAAGGGCACGAAUCCUGCAUCUGUACCAAUGUUGCAAAAAAAUCGUAUUACUUUGUGUGAGCUUGAAAUGUUUUUCCUCAUUCAUUUUUUGCAUAUGGUACUUCUAGUUGUUCAUCUUGUGAAAGAGACAAAUUGGUGUGGACACAUUAUAUGAGAUGGAUGUACGCCUGUGAAACGUUAUAUGAAAAUAUUAAAUAGGUACGAGAAACGAAGUCUGACAGAAGUUGUAUGGUUGAAAAGAUACAUUGUUGAAGAACGCGAUUUGGUUUUGUACUGAAAAUUUGUUCUAAGUUCAGUCAUCGGGACUCCCAAGUCUCAGUCUUGCUCGAAGAAAGAAAAGAAAGACAAAAAAUCUAUUAGGAAAUAAACGUGGCAGUCAAAGGUCGAACACGGGAUGCAAGUGCAUUGUAUGUUCUGCACAAUGAGAAUCCCGAGGUGAGCAGUAUGUGAAAUUCACAAGGUGUUCUCCGAGUUUAAAUCCAAAUAGAAAGAUGAACAAUGGAUAGAUACAGAGACACAAUCAGAUUGUUAUACCUGUAAGAUCUAUUAUUACAAAGUAUUAUACGAGAUUUCCCGCUUCAAUAACAGAAGAGGUUGAGAUGCUUAGCUAAUAAAUGGUCCAAUCCAGUUUUCUUUAUAGCGGCAUACAACAGGCAUAUGAUACACAUUUACAGAAGAACAAGAUGAAAAAGUACUAUGCAAUAUGGAUGUCACCGGUGGAGACUGAACGAUGCACAUAUCAAAGUGUGACGGACUUAACCCCAAUUGCAAAUCUGUCGUAUUUUGUGUAUACGAGCCGCCCAUUUGGGUGUUUUGAUUAUGAGAAGUUUUACAAUUCCUAAAUGUUGCAAGUGGUUGAAAUAAAAUAACGCCAUUCGAAUGGAUAAAUGGUCAGGUAUUUGCAAGGGAUUUAAUAGGGUGGGAUACAAAGAUGAGUUUUUAUCUAGCCUCGGUCAAGUAGACCAAGUGCUUCUACUGUCAAGGAUCACCGAAAGUACAAUGGUCUAUAAUCUUUUUUUCCAACAAAGUAAUUGAUAAGAAAACUAGAGAUCAAGGUGAUAUGAUGUUGAGGAGAAUCGUUUACCAGAAAUGAUCAAGAUGAGAAUGAUUUAACAAAUGAUCAUAGAUUAGAAAUGAUCUAAUGAGGGUAUUUGGAUCAAUCCAACGUCCGUUUGUUAAGAGACAAUGUAGAACAUAUUCCAAACCAAAGAAAGAAUUAGUUAGAACAGGUAAAAGGUACAUGCAUUUAAGUUUUAUCUUAAGGUCUAAUAAAUGACUUUUAUGAUUUUAAUGUUUUACAUUUGUCAUCUGAUUUUAAUUGUGUUCUUAUUACAGGUAAAGUGCUAUUAAUGAAGUCAAUCAUUCGGCAAGAGACAAGGGUGUAAACAAUUUGAAGUACAUGGAGUGCUGAGACAACACUAUUUUUUCAAAAGGCUUGUGUCUCAAUAAGGCAUGGUAUCUACCUAAAGUUACUUUUGUUAGUGUCCAAAGGGACAUCACACCCGUCUCUUUCCUGUCAACCCCCAAACGAGACGAUUAGAAGUGGAAUAUUAUGCCAGUUUUCAAUUAUAUUCUCAACGCAGCGGUUAAUUAUAUCAUUGAAUUAUCACUUUGGCUGAUUUGUUGUUUCAAUUAUUUCAAGAACCGUUGUAAGAACACAGCAUUUGUCCCCUAGGGAAUUGAUUUUUACCUUAACAAGCCCUGCAGAGAAUUCAGGUAAUAUAUAGUCAUUUAACUUAUGCAUUGUUACUAUUUGUGCUCAUCGCCUUUUUGACACAAGUUUUCUGUGUUAUUGCCAUUUGGCUGUUCUUUUGCAGGGGACUAGUCGACCAAACGCAUAUCAUGUGCUUAUGAAUGAAAAUAAUUCACUAGCAGGACCACUACAGAGUUGACCAAUAACUUGUGCUACACGUUAAUUGAUAUGAUUUGCUUUUUUCUUAUAAAUAUUGUUCCUUGUCUUCAUGUAAUUUAGAGCCUUCUGAUACUAGUUUUUUCCAUUCAGUAAUGCGAGGUGUACUCGAUCUGUUCCAAUAGGUUUGUUACCAUUCCCUUUGCUUGUAUUUUGUUUUAGCCUUACACACUUUGUUACAAAAUUUUAUCUUUUAUGCAGUUCCUGCCUAUUAUGCACACUUGCUAUUAUUUCCCAUGGUGUGGAUGGCCGUUAUCUUUGUUUAGUAUGGUUUAGACUUAAGAGCUUUGGAAUACAGUUGUGCAUGGGGUGUUGGUGCUUGAUCUUCGAGACAUAGUUGUAUUAUCUCGAUUUCGUAUUCGGGUGAUGGGUAAAUAUCCGAGUAUGAGAAGAGUUUGACGCAAGUGAAUAUCCCCUAAAUAUUCGGUGUAGUAUUGUAUUACUUUAAUAUAUGUCUGUCAAUAUUUCAUCUAAUUUGUUACUAAAUAUGAAUAUGUUCAUCUCUUAAUUGUAUACUUGAGGAAUACAAAUCUUACCAAGAGCUCAUUGGGAUGAAAUGAAGAUAAUGUGUCAAUCAUUGUGAUCAAAGAAUCAUUAGCUAGGUUGUAUAUUGUUGACAUAUAUGUAUGGAAUAUUGUUGUGUUGUAUGCUGCUUGUUCUGUAUAAUGUUUAUAUUGUUGUUGUAUCUUACUAAAUCAUGAAUAUGUUGUUGUAUAUUGUUGAUCAAAGAAUCAUAUAUUAAUGUUGUAUAUAUUGGAGGAUUAAUGUUGUAUAUAAGGAGUCAGUUGUAUAUAUCAAUGGAUUAAUGGUGUAUAACAUUGGAUUAAAGGAUGAAAUCAAUAUGAAUUUUACACUUUUGCAGCAUUCGAACAGGUUACCAAUAAAUAUCCACUUUUUCAAACAAAUUUUUUAAAUAACUAACACUUUAGAGGCGCUUUGUCCAGAAAGCGCCCUCUAAACACUUACAUUGACAACUUUAGAGGGCGCUUUUCCAGAAAGCGCCCUCUAAACAUACAUUGACAACUUUAGAGGGCGCUUUUUCCUGAAAGCGCCCCUAAACACUUUACAUUGACAACUUUAGAGGCGCGCUUUCCUGAAAGCGCCCUCAAACACUUUCAUUGACAACUUUAGAGGGCACUUUCCAGAAAGCGCCCUUACAGGUGUCCCUUUAUGGACCCACUCCAGAGGGCGCUUUUUCUGAAGCGCACUAUAAUGUGGCCACUUUAGACAGCGCUUUUCUCCAGGAAAACAAAGCGUGUCUUUACCUUAUGUCACGCCACCUUAGAGGGCGCUUAAAAGCGCUGUAUAGGCCAAAUAACGCCCUCUUUCCCUUAUUUGGCGUAGUGUAAAAUAGUUAUAUUUUGACAAAAUAAAAUUAUCAUUCCAUAACAUAAAAUCAACAUGACAUAUACGAUGUUAACUGUAAAAUCAAGAAUUACAUUUCAAAAUAUACAGGUGGACGCUUCAAAAUCUUCACCAAUAUCUUCGAUCGACUUGAUGAAUCGUCGCCAUUCCCGUCAUUCCCGAAUUUUUGUUUUCGUAACGGAAAAAUAUAUUCAACAUAAGCCUCACAUCCCAUUGGUCCUUGAGUUUUCAUAGUUGUUGAACUCAAUCUUGCCUUCGUUGUUAAUUGACGUAGAACGGUACUCGAGCUUCACAAUUUUUCGAUUAUCUCCGUAAUAUAAGAGAUUAUUAACUUCGCAUUGUAGAUCUGCAAAUGAGAUAUACUCAUUGAUCUUAAAUUUUUACCUGGGUGUCGCACUGGAAAAUGAGACAUUUGUGAAAUACCAGAUGAUGUUCAUUUGCGACAUUUUAUGUUUGUAUGAAAUAAAAAACAUGAGCCUAUAUUUAUAGAAGUUGUAGACAUAUAUUGACCUUAAAAGUUAUAUCUUGUAUUAGUGGAGGUUCCGGAGAUGAAUCUUCAAAACCUCUCCUGAUCUAGACAGAAAACAAAACUUGUGUAUUUUGUUUGGCAAAUGGACAAAUUUUUUGACAAACAUCAAAAUGUAUUAAAAUAUUUGAAAUUUUAUAUACUACACUUCAUUAAUAUUAAUACACAAUUACAUAUAAUUAAUUGAUGCCAAAAAAUUAAAGCGAAUCGAAAGAUCUGUCCCAGCUAAAUCUAUAGUAUGAGUGAUCCCCAUUUGACUUUUGUGCAUUUUAUUCUCUUUCAAUGUCCCUCAAUUUGGUGAACUCCUACAUCAUUUCCAUAAAUUGGUUAGGCCAAAUCUCGAAUUUUGUUGUUGAAUGAGCCAUCAACUCCAUUAAUGUAAGUGGUAUAGGGUAUCCCAAUUUCAAAUAAACUUGACCAAAGUGCCAUCAUUUUGAAAGCCUCUUAAUACACAUAAUACAAUCAUUUGGAUUUUGAGGUGGGGCAGUGCGCAAUGAGGAAAAAGUUUCCGAAAAAUCGUUUCUUGUAAGAUUAAUACACACUCUAUAUCAUACACACUUUCUAUAAAAUGACACAUUUCAGGGAAACGCGUCCAUUUUUCCUCCAGUGCUGGUCCACUAAUGCAAGGAACAAAAGACUCAGAAAUUGCAUUAACAUUUUAUUUCCUUCCGUAAAGUCGUGCAUAUGAGUUUUUAUGGGGCCUUAACUCAUGGAUAAUUUGAUGACUAACAAGUGUGUGAUUAUCUUCUCCUUUACCGAGUAAAGUCGAAACAACAAAAAAACCGCAAUUAACGUCGCCCUCAAUAUUGACAAUUCGUUUGAAUGAAUUUUUUGUGUGGAGGCGGUGAAUAGGGAUGUUUGCUAAUGCGAGUUCCUUCAAACUUGCUCGAGAUAUGUUGUCGACCAACUGAGUAUAAAGAUUUUUUUCUUCAAAUCUGUGUUCAAAAACUAUGAUGCUUCGACUGAAUGAUGUUUGUAUAUCAUUAUACUUGUUAUGGAUAAUUUGUUUCACAGAGUCCUAAUAUCUACACAAAUCUCCCUUACUAUUUCCCAACCAACUCUUUAAUGUGUCCCACAUUUCCUUCGUGGAAUUACAAAUAUGGAUAUGGAAAUAUUUAUUUUCAUCUAAAGACAUGGCUUAGAAAAUUUUAGUUUUAAAAUUAAUUUCAAAUAUUAUCUUUUCUUCUACGGCCCAAACAUUAUCAAGUUUAUCUACCACUUCACCAUCAACUUGGUGAAUAUGGAUAAAUAGACAACUUAUUAUUGUUUUCCAUAAUUCAAUAUCAAAAAUUUGAAUAAAUAUUUUAAAUAUAUAUUUCCAUAAUUUAAAUCUAUCACCAUUAAAUGGUUGAGGUGUGUUUAAGAAAGUUCUCUUGUAACAAAUUGUAUUGGAUGUCAUCUUCCUCCUGGUAGGGAUGGCAAUUUGACCCAUUCCCAAUGAGCACCCAUAAAUUUACCCACAACGGGUAGGGUAAAAACCCACAAAAAUGGGUAUGGGCAUGGGCUCGGGUAAUUAACCAUAAAAAUAAGCGGGUACGGGUGCGGGUAUGGGCACCUUGGUACCCAACCCGCCCCAUACCCGCAUACUAUAUAUUUAUGUAUUUUUAUUUUGAUUUACAUAUUUUAGUUUAUAUUAUUAUAUAAAAAUGUAUGUCUAUCAAUUAUAAAACGUAUAUCAAUGUUAAACCAUUAAAUAUUUAAUUAAGUGCUCGUUUAUUUUAAUAAUAAAAUGUUUGAAAUUUUUUUAAUUGUUUUUAAAAACUUAAAAUUAUAUGAUUUUUUAUAAUUGAUCUAUUUAUUUUAAUAAAAAUGCGGGUCACGGGUGCGGACAUGGGUACCUACAUACCCAUAGGGCACGGGCACAGGUGCUAACUUUGGCACCCAGGCGGGUAUGGGCUCGGGCACGGGGAUUUUUUCAAAUCGUGGGUAUGGGGAUGGGUACUAUAGUACCAUGUCCAAACCCUUCACAUUGCCAUCCCUACCUCCUGGAAUGAUAGGCCUAAAUAGGAGUUAGGCUUCGAUGCCCCUUGUUGAACAUGGGACUCCAUACACAAGAGGGGGUGAACUGUAGAGGUUUGAAAUUUUUUUAUUAAAAUAUUGUUUUCUAAAUCAGAGUUUAAAAAUAUUUUGAUAAAAAACUUUGAAUAAACAAUAGAAAUUUGAAGGUAAAGAAAAUAAUCGGAUAGUAAAAGAGUUAAGGGAAGAAUACUAACACUAGAUAUUUGUAGAGGUUAGUUGAUCAUAAAAGUUUAUAACUUUAUUAUGGACUUGAUUCACCAUAAGAAAUUUGAAGGUAAAGAAAAUAAUCGGAUAGUAAAAGAGUUAAGGGAAGAAUACUAACACUAGAUAUUUGUAGAGGUUAGUUGAUCAUAAAAGUUUAUAACUUUAUUAUGGACUUGAUUCACCAUCAUAUAAUCGAUUAGGUAUUUGUUCUAAUCGGUUAGACAAUUCAAAAAAAAUUCGUAAUCACGUUUACAAUUUCGAAUUCAAUCGAUUAAGCUUAAUUUUAUUAUUUUAGUUUAAAAAUAGAGACUUCAAACAUAUUUUUAGUGUUUUUGUGAUUUAGCCAUUAUACUUAUGAAAAUGUCGUUGUGUUCUUGCAAUACAUUGAUCACUCAGUCGGACAGGAUCAUGCAAUCUUUUACACUUAUUCUUUUUUACACAUUGAAGCUUCAAGUUCUUUGUCGUGUUUAAAAAUCAUAUACGCACUUUAAUAAAAUAUUCUAUUAGACGAGGCUUGAGGUAUCUUCAACUUAUGUCACAAUCAUUAGCCAGUGGUAAAGAUAUCAUUGGUGAUCAUAAACUUUGAUUCUUCAUUCAAGCCAAUUUUAGUCUGAUUCAAAAGGAGAGCUUGAUCUUGGUCCACCAUCUUAUGAAUCUUUGACCACUUGGAUUCAUUCUUUGUCGUCAUCAAAACAAUAAAAGCUAAACAAUUUCUUCUUUAAGUCUUACAGCAUCAAAGCUAAGAAUUUUCUUCUUUAACUCUUGUUAUCCAUUGGUUUCAUCAUCUUGGUUAUACUUUCUAGCAAAUGGUUUAAGACAUACCAACUCUUGGAUUUUUAGCCAAGCCCAAAAGGUCACAUAUCAAUACCUCAGUUCAUAUAUGAGGAUGGACAUUAACUAAUUCCAUAAAAGGUACGUAUACAUAGCCUCUUACAACUUCCCACAAACCCAACAUAGACGUAAACACUUGACCCACUCCUUUUUAUAAGAAUUUAUUCUUUAUAGUUCCACAAAAAAGUAAUGCACUAAGCUUUUAAGGAUAUGCAUAUAUAUUGAACAUCUGACCUCACACACAAGAAGAUGAGUGAAUUGUGGGGGUUUAAAAAACAAUAGUUUUAAAACAUAUUGUUAUCAUUUUCAGAGUUUAAAGGUAUUUUAAUAAAAUAAAAAGAUUACAAUCUUAACAGCGAAAAAUAAAUAUGUAAAAAUAAAGAGUUAAAGGUAAGAGAAAAUAUAUCAUAAAAUUAUACGGGUACUAUCAAAAAGAUCCUAAUCUUGUCCCAAAAUUUUGAUCUUGAAAGUAUCCGAUAAUUCGUACUGUUAUUUGGUUAAACUUUCGAUGUGGUUUUUAAACAUUUUAUGAGUAGUUUUUUUUCUUAAAGUAAGGUUUGUUUUAGCUGUUUUUGUGAUUUUGUUGACUUUUUGUUUGUUUUGUUGUUUUGGAUUGUUUGCAUGAUUGAUCGAGUAUCUAUUGUGUUUGUGGCAAGUUUCCUAAAUUUUUUUGGGACCUUUUGUUACCCCAUCUCAUUUAUAUAUACAUUAUACUUUCUCUAAAAACGGGUCUAGCCUUUUUAAACUAGACAUAUUGCCCCAUUUAAUUUUGAAAUAUUAAUAAUUACAAUACUCUGAUACCAAGAAUACUCUGAUACCAAGAAUAACUAAUUUAUUGGAUUGUAAAAAGUAUUCGAAAUUGGAAUGUGAAAGGUGAAAUACAAAAGUGACGUAAGAGUCUAGUAUAUAUAGAGAUAGAAAACAAUAAUAUUUACGUCUUAUUAUUAACUUGAUACCAACAUAUUACCGAUAGUUCAUGAUACAUACAAGAAACGCAAUUCAUAUCUCACAAAUGUUAGAGAAUCGGGUAUGAUAAUCCUGGAUAACUUCGAAGAAUCGUGUUCGUACACUUUCCGAACAAAGUAUUUCGACCCUAUUCUUGCCUGGGUUCACGAAAUCUUUGUGGGGAUAAUUCUUGAAGAAGCAAUUUGUUUUUGCAAAGAGAAAUGUUCAGGAAUGUAGAGAGAAAGUUUGGUUUUGUUAUCAUCUUUUAAACGGAGGCCAAAUGACUCCUUACAUAGGAGAUCAAUAACAGAAACCGAAAAGACGCAAUUGUUCAGAAACGGUUACGUCGGUUGGGAAUGAUUCAACUGUUCAAAGAAAAUUUCGAACGGGCCACUUGCCCCGCACCCCGCCAGGGGCUUCGCCCCUUGGAACCCCGUUUCAAUUAUUCGCAUUCAAUUAUACGUUGGCUCGACGAGCAUGCACUCCGCACUACCCCUAACUCGUUUCCAAGCUUUAACGCAUAAUAGCAUCGCCCUGUAGUAAAUCACAUUACUACUAAAAUAUAUUGAUGAUACUAAAAUCACCAACAACAAAUCACAACAUUACAUAAUACUUAAAGAAAACAAAUAAGAUGCUGCAAAAUACAAACACAUAAGCAGUGAAAAGAGCACAUGAUCAAUCAAAGGUCUUACUUAGAAUAUAUAUCAUACUAUACAUAUCAUGACUCCUUGUUAUCCCUUAAGUGAAUAUGUGGGGGCAGGGGUAUUAGCAUCCCAUACAAAAGGGAGAAUUAGAGAAAAACUUGAUGAUUUUUUUAUCAGAAUUCAGGAAUAUCCAAAAGUCCAUGAUCUAAGACACCACAAAAAUCCUAGAUGGAAGUGACUAUAAAAGGAUCUUUUGGAGGAAAUACAAAGGAGUUCAACAAUUCAGAGAGAUAAACACUUAGUGAGAUUUGAUGAAUAGACUGAGAUGAACAAAGUGGAAAACUUAUUCUUCUAAUUUUCUCAAGGGUAUGCUACCAGUAUCUGGUGCGACAAAGCAUGUCUCUUACUGAUUAAAGAUUGCAAGAAGACGGAGAAGUUAUUCUUAAGUUUUUCAUUUCUUUUUUUAUUAUAUGCUUAAGAAUGUUGAGCUUAAGAUCCAGUAUUAAUGUAUGUACUAAGAUCAUCAUGAGUUAAACUCCUUUAUAUUAAGAAAUGUGAAGUUAAUAUGAAAUAGUCAUCGUGUUAAAUGGUGUGUUGUUGGUGCUUUAUUUUAUCAUGUCUUAAACUGUUAUAAAUUUGUUUCUUUGAAUGACCAACUUAGGAAACGAUACAUGUUUGUUGUUGUGAGGCAUCCGACAACAAGUGGACUUCAUGAUAAAAGUGAUUAAAAAUAAUAGGAUAGAGAUAUUCAUUAGAUUAGAUACCUUAGACAGAAAGAGCUACCAUCAUUGAGGACGUUCGAAAUACAACCAGACACACGUUAAGUUACAAGUGAGGCUUAGACCCCUUAUUUUAUGUAUAUGUUUUUGAUGAUUUAGAGAAACACCACAAGAUCACUUUCUGAACUCUUCUGAUACGACAUAACACAUCAUAAACACACAAUAGAAAAUGUCAUAUUAACAUAUCAUUGUCCAACAUAUUCUCCAUUAAUUGAUUUCAUAUACUCUUGCCAAAGUACUCCUAUAACUAUUCUCUUUAAAAAGUACACAUGUGACAACCAUAAGCUAUUUUUACUCUUGCUUAUGUUCAUUUAUAAAAUAUAAUUUUACAAAUCAAUCUAAGUUACACCAUUUUCAUGUAUAUUUGCAUGUGACAUCACACGUUUUCAAACAAUAAAAAAGAGAAAAUAAUUGACUUCGCAAUAUAUAGUUUUAUUAAAAUUUAAAUGUGAAGGUGUUGUUGUGUCUGUAUGUAAUUAAAAUUUCUCAUGUAUUAAUGAGAUUUGAGGUAAUCUUUAUCCUAAUAUCCAAACAAUGUAAACAAAAACAGAUCAAAUCAAAAUGGUUCAUGUUUUCAAACAAUGUAUUAAUGAUAGAUUGGAAUGAUUUAGAAUAACAUUGGUUCAUGAAUUUUUUAAAAAUCCCACGGUACAAUUGUUCGAUUGAAUUGUGAAAUUAUAGCUAUCAAAACGGAUCACUCGACCCUAAUCGCUCAGGCCCUGAUAGGUCUCAAACUUUUUAGGGUCUGACCAAAAAUCCAGUUGUAAUAUGGACUCAAAAAUUAUUAUCCGAGCCCGACCCUAUACAGAUUUUGGGCUACUCGAUCCAAACUGAUUUUUUAAAUUAUUAUUUAUAUAAAAAUUAAAUUAAAAACUCUAUAAUAUUUAUUAUAAAUACAAUAAAAAAUUAUUAUUUUAAAGAUAAUGUAUUUUUAAGUACUAUAUUAUGUUUUAUAAAUACUAUAAUAUAUUUUUAAAUAUAAUACAUGACUAAAUUGUAUAUAAUAAUAAUAAUAAUAAAAUAUUUAAAAUAAGAGAAUAUAAUAUAAUACGAGAAAAUUGUAAAAUAAAACACACAAAAAUUGAAUACUAUUUUAAUUAUAUUAUAGUAUAAUAUUUAAGAGAAAAACGUUAAAUAGAACAUAGAUAAAAUUUAGUGAGAUGAGAGAAAUCGUCAUGUUAUUUUAAUGUGAGACAACAUAAGUAUUAAUAUAAUUUUUUAAAAUUUAUAGUUAUGCGGGCCUAACAGGUUACCUGCGGCCCAUACGAGAUAAACCUAAUGGUUAACAUAUUUUUAAGAAUCAGACAAAAAUAAUCCUAAAAAAUAUGAGAUCAAAUUAUAUUUUGGGAUUGGCGGCCGACCCAUAUGGGAUAGCCCAUUUUGACGGUUCUAGAUGCAACCAUUGUCACCUUUGCAACGUUCAAUUAUUUAUGGUAUAACCAUCAUGCAAUCGAUUUCACAAAUGUAGCAAUCUAUUUGCACUAAGUUAAGAAGAUUAUGGCGGUUUUAGAAGUGUGAUUAUGGCGAUUUCAGAUAUAAUUGAUGAAAAAUCAAUUUUAUUUUCCUUUUAAAAGACUUGGCAUGAAAUGUCUUGAUGCAUGAAUUUUUUAAAAACCUUAGAAAUUUGAUUAUUAGACUUUUUAUGAACAUCUAAAGUUUAUACAUAAUGAAUUGCAUAUGAGUACAUUAGCAUCAAGAUCAAUUUCAUUUACUUCCAAAAUAUUCAUAGGCUUAUGCAUUAUUGAUUCUUAAUUCCAAAAACUUUCUUCUUUGAUAUUUCUCAAUUGAUAAGAUUUUGUCUUCAUCAAAACUAGACAAAUAUAUUUGACGAACAUCUUUUUCAAAACUUAUUCAUCAAUAAAUGAUGCAAGAUAAGGCCAAAUCAACUCUCUUUGUAAGUCGUCUGUCUUAAAUCUUUAUCUUUUCUUUUUAAAAAUCACAACAUUUCCUCUCUCAAGUGUGUCUCACGUCAUUUCUUUUAUAUUCUCUUAUUUAUCUAUCUUCAUCUAUUUUUAUAUAAUUCUAUAAUCAUUAAUCAGUAUUUAUAACUCAUAUUUUGUGAGUUAUAACAUAUAUUAGCACUUAAGUUUAUCUUUUUUAUUCAAUUAACUACUAGUUUAAUUUAGUGCGUUUUGUGUGUUUUAGUGGAGUAUAAGGAUAUCAAUAGGUUAUCUCGUUUGUUAGUUUUUAUGUGGCGUAGAGGUGACUUCUGAAGACACCUAACACGAUUUUACUAGAGUAACAUUUUAACUUCACCUGAAAGUGAGGAGCUGAAUGCAAUGGUAGUUAUAGAGAGAUGACAUUCACAUUUUCAGGGCAUACAUGGGACCAGUCAACAAGAUGGAGUGCAUUUGAAUCAAAUAAGCAAAGAGGUAAGAUCAAGGAGCUAGCAGAGGACAAAAACUCUACACAAUAGUAAAACCACUAUAUUGUCCAACUUGUCCCCUUGAGGCAAAGGAUUGCUGCAAGCCACCACCACGGUUUUCCUGCGCCACUAAGCCUGACACAAUAAAGUUUAUCUCCUACAUGUUGCUUGUACCCUACUCUGCAGUCGUACAAAAAUGGAGAAUUAGAGGGAAACUUACUGAUUUCUUUGGGCCAAAAUUCACGAAUAUCCAAAAGCCAAUGACCCAAGACACCAUAAAAAUCCUAUAUGAAAGUGACUAUAAAAGGACCUCUUUGAGGAAAUGCAAAGGAUUUCAGCAAUUCAGAGAGAUAAAUACUUAGUGAGAUCUGGUGAAUAGAGUGAGUUGAAAAAUUUGGAAAAAAAAAAUCUUCUCAUUGUCUCAAGUGUAUGCUACCAUUAUCAAGCGUGAGAGAGUUCAUCUCUUUCUCAUUAAAGAUUGCAAGAAGACGAAGAAGUUAAUCUUAGGUUUUCAUUUCUUUUUUAUUAUGUGCUUUAGAAUUUUUAGUUAAGGAUCCAAUAUUGAUGUAUGUACUAAGCUCAUCAUGAGCUAAACUCCUUUAUAUUGAGCAAUGUGAAGUUAAUAUGAAAUAGUGAUUGUGUUAAAUGAUGUGUUAUUGGUGAUUUAUUUUAUCAUAUGUUAAACUGUUAUAAAUAUGUUUUUUUGAAUGAUCAACUUAGGAAAAUAUACAAGCUUGUUAUCGUGAGAUAUCCAUGAACAAGUGGACUUCAUGAUAAAAGUGAUUUAAAAUAGUAGGAUAUAGAUAUUCAUUAGAUUAGUUAUUUUAGACACGUUUGGAAUACAACCAGACAUGCAUUAAAGAUACAAUCGAGGUUUAGAGAUUUAUCCCCUUACUUUACUAUAUAUAUUUUUGAUGAUGUAGAGAUACACCACAAGAUCAUUUUUUGACCUCUUUUUUCACGAAAUAACACAUCAUGCACACACAAUAGACAAAGACAUAUUAAUGGAUUAUUGCCCAAAAUAUUCUCCAUUGUUAAUUUCAUAUACUCUUGCCAAAGCACUCCUAUCACUAUUUGCUUUAAAAAGUGAACCUGUGACAACCAUAAACUAUUUUUACUCUUGCUCGUGCUCAUUUACAAAAGAUACUUUUACAAAUCAAUCUAAACUAUCACCACUUCCUAUGGGUUCAACAUCCUUAUUAUUCUAUCAAUUACUAUUUUAAAAUAGAUGUAUACUUGCAUGUGAUAUCACACGUUUUCAAGCAACGAAUAUCUUUAAAAUAUAAAUAAAUAAUGAAAGAAAGAACAAAAAGAAUAACAAAAGAAAAUGUAGUAAAAAUAAAGGGAAGGUGAUUAUAAAUAUACUAAUUAUGAUGCCAAGUUUGAAUGCAAUAACUCCCUGAAAUUCAGAUGAACCUAUGCUUAUGAUAUAUAUAAUCAUUUAGUACCAUAUAUAUACUCCUAAUUUAAAUCUAAAUACAUUUAAUCAACCAAAUUAGGAAGGAAACAAUUCUCAACAAUCAGCUAAAAAGUUUAGCAAAACAUGUUUACUUUGCAAUAGUGACACCAUGAUCCAUGCACAAAAAUCACAAACAAAACAUUAAUGCAGAAGACAAUAUCCAUGCACAAAAGCCCUUCUGUUGCGUCUCUAUGUAACUAAAAUUUCUCAUGUAUUAGUGAGAUUUGAAAUAGCCUUUGUAUCCUAAUAUGCAAACAAAGAAAACCAAAAUAGAUCAAAUUAACAAAUGUUAAAUACUUACUCCUUUUGUUAGUUUCGGUAAGGUUUUCAUAUUCAUCCUUCACAAGAAGCCUUACUUGUUUAGUAACCUUAUUAAUCAUACUUACCUGUCAAUGAGAUAUAGAGAGGAAAUUAGAAAACAAAACACAACUUUCAGAUUUUUCUAGUAGAACCAUCAUGCGUCGAUCACACAUAUGUAGCAAUCUAUUUUCACUAAGUUAAGAAGAUUACGGUAGUUCUAGAAGUGUGAUUAUGGCGAUUUCAUAUACCGUAAUUUAUGAAAAAUCAUUUUUUUUUAAUUUUUAAACGACUUGGCAUGAAAUGUCUUGAUGCAUGAAUGUUUUAAAAACCUUAGAGAUGAGAUUAUUAGACAUUUUUUGAGCAUCUAAAAUUUAUACAUAAUGAAUUGCAUAUGAACACGUUAGCAUCAAGAUCAAUUUCUUUUACUUCCAAAAUACCCAUAGACUUAUGCAUUCUUGAUUCUUAAAUCCAAAAAUUUUAUUUUUGAUAUUUCUCAAUUGAUAAGAUUUUGUAUUCAUCAAAACUAGACGAAUAUAUUUGACGAACAUCUUUUUCACAAAUUAUUCAUCAAUAAAUGAUGCAAGGUAAGGCCAAAUCAACUCUCUUUGCAAGUCGCAGUCAUUCUUAAAUCUUUAUCUAUUUUUGAAAAUCAAAACCUUUUCUCACAUCAUGUCUUUUAUAUUCUCUUAUUUGUUUAUCUUCAUCUAUUUUUUAUAUACUUCUAUAAUCAUUAAUCAGUAUUUAUAACUCACAUUUUUUGAGUUAUUACAUAUACUAACACUUGUAGUUUAAUUUAGUGUGUUUCGUUAUUUUUUAGUGGAGUAUAAAAAGCAUAAUAGGUUCUCUAUUUCGUUAGUUUUUAUGUGUUUGUUAUAUAUGUAGAGAUGACUUCUGAUGAGACCUAGCACGAUAGUGUUGGAGUAGUAUUUAAACUCCAAUUGAAAGUCGAGAGUCGGAUAAAAUGAAAGUUAUAGAGGGAUGGCAUUGGUAACUUUUAGGGCAUACGUGAAACCAGUCAGUAGGAUGGAGUGCAUUUGAAUCAAAUGAACAAAUGGAUAAUAUCAAGGCUCUAGAGGACAAAAACUCUGCACAAUAGUACAACCACUACAAUGCCUAACUUACCCCUAUUGCAAGACAUUGUCGUUUUUUUCCUGCCCACUAAGCAUGGCACAAUACACUUAUUCUCCUACAUGCUGCUUGUACUCUGAUCUGUAAUGGUACGAAAAGGGAGAAUUAGGGGAAACUUGUUGAUUCCUUUGGGCCAUAAUUCACGAAUAUCCAAAAGCCUAUGAUCCAAGACACCACAAAAAACCUAGAUGGAAGUAACUAUAAAAGGGCCUCUUGGAGAAAGUGCAAAGGAGUUCAAAAAUUCAUAGAGAGAAACACUAGUGAGAUUUGGUGACUAAAGUGAGUUGAAUAAAGUGGAAAAAUUCUUCUUCUCAUCUUCACAAGUGUAUGCUACCAAUAUCAAGCGCGAGAGAGUAUGUCUCUUGAUGACUAAAGAUUGCAAGAACACGAAGAAGUUACUCAUAAAUUUUCAUUUCUUUUUUAUUAUGUGCUUAAGAAUGUUUAAUUUAUGACUCAAUAUUGAUGUGCGUACUAAGCUCAUCAUGAGUUAAACUCUUUUAUGUUAAGCAAUGUGAAGUUAAUAUGAAAUAUUUGUUGUGUUAAAUGAUGCAUUGUUGGUGCUUUAUUUUAUCAUGAGUUAAAUUAUUAUAAAUGUGUUUCUUUGAAUGAUCAACUUAGGAAUAUAUACAAGCUUGUUAUUGUGAGACAUCCAGUAUCAAGUGGAUUUCAUGAUAAAAUUGAUUGAAAAUAGUAGGAUAGAGAUAUUCACUAGAUUAGUUACCUUAGACAUAAAGAGCUACAAUCAUAGAGGACGUUCGAAAUACAAUUAGACAUGUAUUAAAGUUACAAGUGAGACGUAGAGAUUUUUUCCGUUAAUUUACUGUAUAUCAUUCUGAUGAUGUAGAGAUACAACACAAGAUCACUUUCUGAUCUCUUCUAGCACGAUAUAGCACAUCAUGAAUACACAAUAGUAAAAGUCAUAUUAACGGAUCAUUGCCCAAUAUAGUCUCCAUUAUUGAUUUCAUAUACUCUUGCCAAAGUACUGUUCUCACUAUUUCACUACUACAAAUAAUACAUUUCAUGACAACGAUUUCACCUCACAUAUUUAAAAGUCAACGUAAAAUUCCUGGACGCGCCUUAUUAUUUUAAAUAAAAAAUAUACAAUAUAUUUUGUUGGUUAUUUUAAAAAUCGAGGGGUAAACCUAUUCAGCAUACAUGCUUCAAAUCCUAUUAGUCUCUGUAUAUGUUUUUUUUUCAUUAAAAAUGGUGUCUUCUUGAAUAUUUUAUUUUUAAUAUAAAAAUACACCAUAUUUCACAUCGGUUUUCUUUCCAACCUAUGUGAGUAUGUUUCUCUGAUAUAUCAAAUACUUUAAACAUCACUACUAAUAUUGUUGUCAUAUUGUUGUUGUUGUUGUUAUUGAUGUUGGAAAUAAUCAUAUGCAAAAUUAUGUUGUAUCUGAAACUUAUCUUAAAUCGAAUAAUGAUUUUCUAGUAUUCUCAACUCAUCAUUCAUCCUAGACAACAAGUUUUACUUCUUUAAUAACCUUCUUAAUGACACAUACCCGUCCAUGAUAUAUAGAGGGGAAAUUAGAAAACAAAAGACAAGUUUAGUUGCAUAUUUGCAAGAAUGGUCUCACAUUCUAUUGAUCGUGAAGUCCAAGAAGGAAUUAGGCGAUACGGAACCUGCCGUACCGAUCAUGAAAUCUAUUGAAAUCUAUUGACAUAUUCGUGACCUUAAAAUAUAUAUAUGCAUAGCAGUGCAUGAACCUGCCCUAUUUAAUUUAUAUUUUCUGUUAAAAAAGGGUCUAGCCUUUUUAAACUAGACAUAUUUCCCCAUUAAUAAAUUAAUGCAAUCAUAAUUUAGGAUAUGAUAUUCAUUUUGAAAUAUUGAUAAUUACAUAAUUUGAUAGCAAGAGUGAUUAAUUUGUUGGAAUGUAAAAACGAUUCAAAAUUGGAAUGUGAAAGGUGAAAUAAAAGUGAGGUAGAGAAAUAGAAAACAAUAAUAUUUGCUUCUUAUUAUUAACUUGAUGAUACCAAGAUAUUACAGAUAGUUCAAGAGAAGCAAUUCAUAUCUCACAACAUAACAUAAUACUUAAAGAAAACAUAACAUAAUACAUAAAUAAAACAGUGAGAAAGAGCACCCUGGUGAAUGAUAGGUCUUAUUUAGAAUAUAUGACAUACUAUACAUAGCAUGACUCAUAAGACCUUGCUAUUAUUCAUAGUAUGUAUGACCUGCUAGGUAGGAAGCUAGUGAGCGAUCACUCUUUAGUAAGGAGUUUUUGAAGUUCUUCCUCGAGUGAAUAUGUGGGGGAGGAGGAGGUAUUAGCAUCCCAAACGAAAACUCCGGGA